CAUAUUAUUGGGCUAAAGCGUCGUACUGGCCGACCAAGUCUACCGGGAAAUCACCCGCCCAACGGGUGGGCGUUCGGUAGAAACUGGCCGGCUUGGAACCGGAAGGCUUAGAGAGUACUGUCCGGGGUAAGAGUGAAAUCCCGUAAUCCCGGACGGACUACCGAUGGCGAAAGCACUCUGAAGAAGACGGCUUCGACAGUGAGGGACGAAAGCUCGGGUCUCAAACC
This 227-nucleotide ribosomal RNA is filed under the name uncultured archaeon. RNAcentral describes it as "partial 16S ribosomal RNA". It matches the Rfam family "Archaeal small subunit ribosomal RNA", at positions 498 to 725 of the family's 1478-position model. The record is from RNAcentral.